This 471-nucleotide ribosomal RNA is filed under the name uncultured bacterium. RNAcentral describes it as "bacterial SSU rRNA". It matches the Rfam family "Bacterial small subunit ribosomal RNA", at positions 52 to 507 of the family's 1533-position model. The record is from RNAcentral.
CACAUGCAAGUGGAGCGACGAAUCAGGGCUUGCCCUGGGGCAAAGCCGCGAACGGGUGAGUAACACGUGGGUAACCUGCCCCGAUGACCGGGAUAACCCGAGGAAACUCGAGCUAAUACCGGAUGUGCUCUCCCCUCACGAGAGGGGCGAGUAAAGGAAGCUUCGGCCUCCGCAUCGGGAGGGGCCCGUGGCCCAUUAGCUUGUUGGUGGGGUAACGGCCUACCAAGGCUGCGAUGGGUAGCUGGUCUGAGAGGACGAUCAGCCACACUGGGACUGAGACACCGGCCCAGACUCCGUACGGGAGGCAGCAGGUGGGGAAUCUUGCGCAAUGCGCGACAGCGUGACGCAGCAACACCGCGUGGGGAAGAAGGCCUUCGGGUUGUAAACCCCUUUCAGGAGGGACGAAGGCCGGCCGGCGAAUAGCCGUGUCGGUUGACGGUACCUGCAGAAUAAGCCCCGGCCAACUACGUG